ACUAAAAACUUAGCCCCCCAUAUACCCCUAAUAAAUAUUAUUGUUUCUUUAUUUAUUUAAAACAUUUUUAUAUUCUAGUAAAGGUGAUUGAAAAACUUCCAGGAGCUAUACAAAUAGUACCGUAAGGGAAAAGUGAAAUAAAAAUGAAAUAAAUUUUAAGUACAAAAUAGUAGAGACUUCCCCUCGUACCUUUUGCAUCAUGGUUUAACUAGUUAAAUUAAGCAAAACGACUUAUAGUUUAACUUCCCGAAACUAGGCGAGCUACUUCAAGGCAGCUUAUUGAGCUAACCCGUCUCUGUCGCAAAAGAGUGGGAUGACCUUCAAGUAGAGAUGAUAUAUCUAACAAGCCUAGUGAUAGCUGGUUAUUCAGGAAAAAGAUUUUAGUCUAACCUAAAGCUUAUUUAAUAAAAUUUUAUAAAAAGUUCACUUUAGAGUAAUUCAAAUAAGGUACAGCCUGUUUGAAAUAGGAUACAACCUCUUAAGACGGGUUAUAUUUUUUGACAUAUUCAAGUAGGCCUAAGAGCAGCCACCUUUUAGAUAGCGUCAAAGCUCCACUAUACCUUCUUCUAAUUUCUUUAAUUUUACAAAACCCUCUAUUAGUACUGAAUACUUCUAUAAUUUUAUAGAACAUUUUAUGUUAAAACUAGUAACAAGAAGAAGACCUUCACUCUAAUGUAAGUGUAAGCCAGUCAGGACACACCACUGGUUAUUAACAUUUAUGCAGAAAAAUUAAUAACUUUUUCAAGAAAAACUUAAUUUAUGUUAUGUUAACCUAACACAAGAACAUUCUGAGUAAGAUUUAAAGAAAAAGAAGGAACUCAGCAAAUAUUAACCUCGCCUGUUUACCAAAAACAUCGCCUCUUGAUUUUUAUAAGAGGUCUAGCCUGCCCAGUGACUCUGUUCAACGGCCGCGGUAUCCUAACCGUGCGAAGGUAGCGUAAUCACUUGUUCUUUAAAUGGGGACUAGUAUGAAUGGCAUCACGAGGGUUAUACUGUCUCCUUUUUCUAAUCAGUGAAACUAAUCUCCCCGUGAAGAAGCGGGGAUGAAUUUAUAAGACGAGAAGACCCUAUGGAGCUUUAAACUAAAUUACAUCUGCUUUAGAUUUUUUACCUUCCAGAAUAUUCAACAUUUAUUUUAGCUUUCUGAUUUUUAGUUUUAGGUUGGGGUGACCGCGGAGCAAAAAAUAACCUCCAUGUUGAACGGAAUUAAAUUCCUUAGCUACAAAUUACAUUUUUAUGCACCAAUAAAUUGACAUUAAUUGACCCAAUAAAUUGAUCAACGAAACAAGUUACCCUAGGGAUAACAGCGCAAUCCGCUUCAAAAGCUCCUAUCGACAAGCGGGCUAUACGACCUCGAUGUUGGAUCAGGGUAUCCCAGUGGUGCAGCCGCUACUAAAGGUUCGUUUGUUCAACGAUUAAAACCCUACGUGAUCUG
Molecule: ribosomal RNA, 1435 nt
Filed under: Isthmohyla zeteki (Zetek's treefrog)
Lineage: Eukaryota; Metazoa; Chordata; Amphibia; Anura; Hylidae
Description: partial 16S ribosomal RNA
Rfam family: Bacterial large subunit ribosomal RNA
Source: RNAcentral